This 397-nucleotide ribosomal RNA is filed under the name uncultured bacterium. RNAcentral describes it as "partial 16S ribosomal RNA". It matches the Rfam family "Bacterial small subunit ribosomal RNA", at positions 523 to 918 of the family's 1533-position model. The record is from RNAcentral.
AUACGUAGGUGGCAAGCGUUGUCCGGAAUUAUUGGGCGUAAAGCGCGCGCAGGUGGUUCCUUAAGUCUGAUGUGAAAGCCCCCGGCUCAACCGGGGAGGGUCAUUGGAAACUGGGGAACUUGAGUGCAGAAGAGGAUAGUGGAAUUCCAAGUGUAGCGGUGAAAUGCGUAGAGAUUUGGAGGAACACCAGUGGCGAAGGCGGCUGUCUGGUCUGUAACUGACACUGAGGCGCGAAAGCUUGGGGAGCAAACAGGAUUAGAUACCCUGGUGGUCCACGCCGUAAACGAUGAGUGCUAAGUGUUGGGGGGUUUCCGCCCCUCAGUGCUGCAGCUAACGCAUUAAGCACUCCGCCUGGGGAGUACUGUCGCAAGACUGAAACUCAAAGGAAUUGACGGGU